AGAUUAAGUUAUUAAGGGCGCACGGUGGAUGCCUUGGCACUAGAAGCCGAAGAAGGACGUUACUAACGACGAUAUGCUUUGGGUAGCUGUAAGUAAGCGUUGAUCCAGAGAUUUCCGAAUGGGGGAACCCAACAUGAGUUAUGUCAUGUUAUCGACAUGUGAAUUCAUAGCAUGUCAGAAGGCAGACCCGGAGAACUGAAACAUCUUAGUACCCGGAGGAAGAGAAAGAAAAAUCGAUUCCCUGAGUAGCGGCGAGCGAAACGGGAAGAGCCCAAACCAACAAGCUUGCUUGUUGGGGUUGUAGGACACUCUAUACGGAGUUACAAAAGAACAUGUUAGACGAAUCAUCUGGAAAGAUGAAUCAAAGAAGGUAAUAAUCCUGUAGUCGAAAACAUAUUCUCUCUUGAGUGGAUCCUGAGUACGACGGAGCACGUGAAAUUCCGUCGGAAUCUAGGAGGACCAUCUCCUAAGGCUAAAUACUCUCUAGUGACCGAUAGUGAACCAGUACCGUGAGGGAAAGGUGAAAAGUACCCCGGAAGGGGAGUGAAAGAGAACUUGAAACCGUGUGCUUACAAGUAGUCAGAGCCCGUUUAUGGGUGAUGGCGUGCCUUUUGUAGAAUGAACCGGCGAGUUACGAUCUGAUGCAAGGUUAAGCAGCGAAUGUGGAGCCGUAGCGAAAGCGAGUCUGAAUAGGGCGUUGAGUAUUUGGUCGUAGACCCGAAACCAGGUGAUCUACCCUUGGUCAGGUUGAAGUUCAGGUAACACUGAAUGGAGGACCGAACCGACUUACGUUGAAAAGUGAGCGGAUGAACUGAGGGUAGCGGAGAAAUUCCAAUCGAACUUGGAGAUAGCUGGUUCUCUCCGAAAUAGCUUUAGGGCUAGCCUCAAGUGAUGAUUAUUGGAGGUAGAGCACUGUUUGGACGAGGGGCCCCUCUCGGGUUACCGAAUUCAGACAAACUCCGAAUGCCAAUCAAUUUAACUUGGGAGUCAGAACAUGGGUGAUAAGGUCCGUGUUCGAAAGGGAAACAGCCCAGACCACCAGCUAAGGUCCCAAAAUAUAUGUUAAGUGGAAAAGGAUGUGGCGUUGCCCAGACAACUAGGAUGUUGGCUUAGAAGCAGCCAUCAUUUAAAGAGUGCGUAAUAGCUCACUAGUCGAGUGACACUGCGCCGAAAAUGUACCGGGGCUAAACAUAUUACCGAAGCUGUGGAUUGUCCUUCGGACAAUGGUAGGAGAGCGUUCUAAGGGCGUUGAAGCAUGAUCGCAAGGACAUGUGGAGCGCUUAGAAGUGAGAAUGCCGGUGUGAGUAGCGAAAGACGGGUGAGAAUCCCGUCCACCGAUUGACUAAGGUUUCCAGAGGAAGGCUCGUCCGCUCUGGGUUAGUCGGGUCCUAAGCUGAGGCCGACAGGCGUAGGCGAUGGAUAACAGGUUGAUAUUCCUGUACCACCUAGUAUCGUUUUAAUCGAUGGGGGGACGCAGUAGGAUAGGCGAAGCGUGCUGUUGGAGUGCACGUCCAAGCAGUAAGGCUGAGUGUUAGGCAAAUCCGGCACUCGUUAGGCUGAGCUGUGAUGGGGAGAGGAAAUUGUUUCCUCGAGUCGUUGAUUUCACACUGCCGAGAAAAGCCUCUAGAUAGAUAACAGGUGCCCGUACCGCAAACCGACACAGGUAGUCAAGAUGAGAAUUCUAAGGUGAGCGAGCGAACUCUCGUUAAGGAACUCGGCAAAAUGACCCCGUAACUUCGGGAGAAGGGGUGCUCUUUAGGGUUCACGCCCAGAAGAGCCGCAGUGAAUAGGCCCAAGCGACUGUUUAUCAAAAACACAGGUCUCUGCUAAACCGUAAGGUGAUGUAUAGGGGCUGACGCCUGCCCGGUGCUGGAAGGUUAAGAGGAGUGGUUAGCUUCUGCGAAGCCACGAAUCGAAGCCCCAGUAAACGGCGGCCGUAACUAUAACGGUCCUAAGGUAGCGAAAUUCCUUGUCGGGUAAGUUCCGACCCGCACGAAAGGCGUAACGAUUUGGGCACUGUCUCAACGAGAGACUCGGUGAAAUCAUAGUACCUGUGAAGAUGCAGGUUACCCGCGACAGGACGGAAAGACCCCGUGGAGCUUUACUGUAGCCUGAUAUUGAAAUUCGGCACAGCUUGUACAGGAUAGGUAGGAGCCAUUGAAACGUGAGCGCUAGCUUACGUGGAGGCGUUGGUGGGAUACUACCCUAGCUGUGUUGGCUUUCUAACCCGCACCACUUAUCGUGGUGGGAGACAGUGUCAGGCGGGCAGUUUGACUGGGGCGGUCGCCUCCUAAAAGGUAACGGAGGCGCUCAAAGGUUCCCUCAGAAUGGUUGGAAAUCAUUCACAGAGUGUAAAGGCAUAAGGGAGCUUGACUGCGAGACYUACAAGUCGAGCAGGGUCGAAAGACGGACUUAGUGAUCCGGUGGUUCCGCAUGGAAGGGCCAUCGCUCAACGGAUAAAAGCUACCCCGGGGAUAACAGGCUUAUCUCCCCCAAGAGUUCACAUCGACGGGGAGGUUUGGCACCUCGAUGUCGGCUCAUCGCAUCCUGGGGCUGUAGUCGGUCCCAAGGGUUGGGCUGUUCGCCCAUUAAAGCGGUACGCGAGCUGGGUUCAGAACGUCGUGAGACAGUUCGGUCCCUAUCCGUCGUGGGCGUAGGAAAUUUGAGAGGWGCUGUCCUUAGUACGAGAGGACCGGGAUGGACAUACCUCUGGUGUACCAGUUGUCGUGCCAACGGCAUAGCUGGGUAGCUAUGUAUGGACGGGAUAAGUGCUGAAAGCAUCUAAGCAUGAAGCCCCCCUCAAGAUGAGAUUUCCCAACUUCGGUUAUAAGAUCCCUCGAAGAUGACGAGGUUAAUAGGUUCGAGGUGGAAGCGUGGUGACACGUGGAGCUGACGAAUACUAAUCGAUCGAAGACUUAAUCAAU
This 2924-nucleotide ribosomal RNA is filed under the name Staphylococcus capitis. RNAcentral describes it as "bacterial LSU rRNA". It matches the Rfam family "Bacterial large subunit ribosomal RNA". Lineage: Bacteria; Bacillati; Bacillota; Bacilli; Caryophanales; Staphylococcaceae. The record is from RNAcentral.